CCUAACACAUGCAAGUCGAACGGUAACAGGAAGAAGCUUGCUUCUUUGCUGACGAGUGGCGGACGGGUGAGUAAUGUCUGGGAAACUGCCUGAUGGAGGGGGAUAACUACUGGAAACGGUAGCUAAUACCGCAUAACGUCGCAAGACCAAAGAGGGGGACCUUCGGGCCUCUUGCCAUCAGAUGUGCCCGGAUGGGAUUAGCUAGUAGGUGGGGUAACGGCUCACCUAGGCGACGAUCCCUAGCUGGUCUGAGAGGAUGACCAGCCACACUGGAACUGAGACACGGUCCAGACUCCUACGGGAGGCAGCAGUGGGGAAUAUUGCACAAUGGGCGCAAGCCUGAUGCAGCCAUGCCGCGUGUAUGAAG
RNAcentral lists this ribosomal RNA (367 nucleotides) under uncultured bacterium. RNAcentral's name for it is "bacterial SSU rRNA". It matches the Rfam family "Bacterial small subunit ribosomal RNA", at positions 47 to 410 of the family's 1533-position model. The record is from RNAcentral.